Molecule: non-coding RNA, 82 nt
Organism: Moniliophthora roreri
Lineage: Eukaryota; Fungi; Basidiomycota; Agaricomycetes; Agaricales; Marasmiaceae
Source: Rfam
ACACCGUUGGUGAAGUGGUUAUCAUGCUUGCCUUCCAUUUGUGAUCCAGCAAGCGGCUCGGGUUCGAUUCCCGAACGGUGUA